RNAcentral lists this ribosomal RNA (253 nucleotides) under uncultured bacterium. Its description in RNAcentral is "partial 16S ribosomal RNA". It matches the Rfam family "Bacterial small subunit ribosomal RNA", at positions 524 to 776 of the family's 1533-position model. The record is from RNAcentral.
UACGAGGGGUGCAAGCGUUGCUCGGAAUUAUUGGGCGUAAAGGGUAGGUAGGUGGUCUCAUUUGUCUGGGGUGAAAGCCUUGAGCUUAACUCAAGAAGUGCCCCAGAAACGGUGAGACUGGAGUCCUGGAGAGGGUCGUGGAAUUCCCGGUGUAGCGGUGAAAUGCGUAGAGAUCGGGAGGAACACCAGAGGCGAAGGCGGCGACCUGGACAGGUACUGACACUCAACUACGAAAGCGUGGGGAGCAAACAGG